This 73-nucleotide transfer RNA is filed under the name Pelodiscus sinensis (Chinese soft-shelled turtle). It matches the Rfam family "tRNA". Rfam says of the family: Transfer RNA (tRNA) molecules are approximately 80 nucleotides in length. The record is from Rfam by way of RNAcentral. Lineage: Eukaryota; Metazoa; Chordata; Testudines; Trionychidae.
GACUGUGUGGCCUAAUGGAUAAGGCAUCUGAGUUUGGAUCAGAAGACUGAGGGUUGGCGUCCCUUCGCAGUUG